RNAcentral lists this transfer RNA (77 nucleotides) under Planctomycetota bacterium. Its description in RNAcentral is "tRNA-Val". It matches the Rfam family "tRNA". From Rfam's summary of the family: Transfer RNA (tRNA) molecules are approximately 80 nucleotides in length. Their secondary structure includes four short double-helical elements and three loops (D, anti-codon, and T loops). Further hydrogen bonds mediate the characteristic L-shaped molecular structure. tRNAs have two regions of fundamental functional importance: the anti-codon, which is responsible for specific mRNA codon recognition, and the 3' end, to which the tRNAs corresponding amino acid is attached (by aminoacyl-tRNA synthetases). tRNAs cope with the degeneracy of the genetic code in two manners: having more than one tRNA (with a specific anti-codon) for a particular amino acid; and 'wobble' base-pairing, i.e. permitting non-standard base-pairing at the 3rd anti-codon position. The record is from RNAcentral. Lineage: Bacteria; Pseudomonadati; Planctomycetota.
GGGCCAGUGGCACAGUUGGCUAGCGCGCCACCUUGACAUGGUGGAGGUCACAGGUUCGAGUCCUGUCUGGCCCACCA